UUUUUCAAAGCCCACGUGGUGUUCAGAGAAUCAAGGUCAGAAACAAAAGUAAAACAUUAUUGACUCGACCACAAAUAAAUAACAUUUUCAAUUGAUUUAUGUAUCCUUCUUAUUGAACAGUUUACAAAAAAAAGAAGAAAAUCAGAGGAUAUUUCAAUUUUCUGUCAAUGCUUGAGAAAUAAUUGUAUGUAACAGUCUUUCGAGAAAAAAGGGGGGUAACAAAAUGUACAUAGUUGUAUGCAAAUAAAUUUUAAGCAUAAGGUAAAUAAAAUAAAGAACUGACCAUUACACAAAAAAACUUUUUUUACUUUAAUUUCAUACAUAAAAAAUGGUCAUUUGAAAGAUGAAAUUAGCAGCCAGGAGAUUGCGAGAAUGCAGGAUUUUGCUCUAUUUAUGCCAGACCCCUGCCACAAAGCACCAAGCUGUACGGGCAUCUGGCUUUGCCGAACACAUGUGACACCCCCCUUUAAUUUUAAUUUAGCCUACUACUUCCGUUUCAAGGGAAAGCCCUGGUUUUUUUCUGUUUGACUGCCA
Molecule: long non-coding RNA, 534 nt
Filed under: Mytilus galloprovincialis (Mediterranean mussel)
Lineage: Eukaryota; Metazoa; Mollusca; Bivalvia; Mytilida; Mytilidae
Source: RNAcentral